Small nuclear RNA from Sorex araneus (European shrew), 162 nucleotides. Its record names the gene U1. It matches the Rfam family "U1 spliceosomal RNA". Rfam says of the family: U1 is a small nuclear RNA (snRNA) component of the spliceosome (involved in pre-mRNA splicing). Its 5' end forms complementary base pairs with the 5' splice junction, thus defining the 5' donor site of an intron. There are significant differences in sequence and secondary structure between metazoan and yeast U1 snRNAs, the latter being much longer (568 nucleotides as compared to 164 nucleotides in human). NCBI's taxonomy places the organism in Eukaryota, Metazoa, Chordata, Mammalia, Eulipotyphla, Soricidae. The record is from Ensembl.
AUACUCACCUAGCAGGGAACAUACCAUGAUCGCAUAGUUGGUUUUCCCAGGAUGAGGCUUAUCUAUUGCACUUGGGAUGUGCUGACUCCUGCGGUUUCCCCAAAUGUGGGAAACUCAACUGCAUAAUUUGUGCUAGUAGGGAACUGUUUCACACUGUCCACU